UACGGAGGGUGCGAGCGUUAAUCGGAAUUACUGGGCGUAAAGGGUGCGUAGGUUGUUGAUUAAGUUAUCUGUAAAAUCCCCGGGCUUAACCUGGGAGUGCCAGAUGAUACUGAUUGACUCGAGUAUGGGAGAGGGUAGUGGAAUUUCCGGUGUAGCGGUGAAAUGCGUAGAUAUCUGGAGGAACACCGGUGGCGAAGGCGGGUCUCUGGGCCGAUACUGACGCUGAGGAGCGAAAGCGUGGGGAGCAAACAGG
RNAcentral lists this ribosomal RNA (253 nucleotides) under uncultured bacterium. Its description in RNAcentral is "partial 16S ribosomal RNA". It matches the Rfam family "Bacterial small subunit ribosomal RNA", at positions 524 to 776 of the family's 1533-position model. The record is from RNAcentral.